CCUGGGAAGAGGACGAAAGAGAGGUUCGAAGAACGCUAGGAAUGACAACAUGAAGGAAGGCAAUCUCUAUUUUCGGCUUUGUGAUCAGAUACGAAAAUUGAUGUCUUCCUGAUGCCUCUCAUUCCUACUGUUCUUAGGUUCUCCUUCCUCUUCCUUUGGCUU
This 162-nucleotide microRNA precursor is filed under the name Brachypodium distachyon (stiff brome). Its description in RNAcentral is "MIR2118 microRNA precursor family". It matches the Rfam family "MIR2118 microRNA precursor family". Lineage: Eukaryota; Viridiplantae; Streptophyta; Magnoliopsida; Poales; Poaceae. The record is from Rfam by way of RNAcentral.